RNAcentral lists this long non-coding RNA (275 nucleotides) under Salmo trutta (river trout). Its description in RNAcentral is "lncRNA (ENSSTUG00000010212.1)". The record is from RNAcentral. Lineage: Eukaryota; Metazoa; Chordata; Actinopteri; Salmoniformes; Salmonidae.
GAGGGAGCUAUGCAGAUUUGUAUUUGUUUUUAGCUGUUUUGUUCUGUUUGUAUAAAUUGGCAUUAUUUUUCUCAUCAGUGGGAGGAGUCAUAGUGACCAGCCAGUAACCAGUAUGCAGGAUAUGGAUGCAUCCAAGUGUGCUUCCUCAGAUCCCUCAACAUCAAGGAAAGAGCAGAAAGACACCAGCAGUGAAAUCAACACAAACUACUAUACCAAGAAUCACCUAUAUGGCAACAUAGAGGUAUGUACUGUAGGCCUACUGCAGACAUUUACAG